This 856-nucleotide ribosomal RNA is filed under the name Torula sp. RNAcentral describes it as "partial large subunit ribosomal RNA". It matches the Rfam family "Eukaryotic large subunit ribosomal RNA", at positions 46 to 919 of the family's 3401-position model. Lineage: Eukaryota; Fungi; Ascomycota; Dothideomycetes; Pleosporales; Torulaceae. RNAcentral also lists the same sequence under 1 other name. The record is from RNAcentral.
CAUAGCGGAGGAAAGAAACCAACAGGGAUUGCCCUAGUAACGGCGAGUGAAGCGGCAACAGCUCAAAUUUGAAAUCUGGCUCCUUUGGGGUCCGAGUUGUAAUUUGCAGAGGGAGCUUUUGGCGUCGGUCGUGGUCUAAGUUCCUUGGAACAGGACGUCACAGAGGGUGAGAAUCCCGUACGUGGCCGCCGGCCUUCGCCUUGUAAAGCCCCUUCGACGAGUCGAGUUGUUUGGGAAUGCAGCUCUAAAUGGGAGGUAAAUUUCUUCUAAAGCUAAAUACCCGCCAGAGACCGAUAGCGCACAAGUAGAGUGAUCGAAAGAUGAAAAGCACUUUGGAAAGAGAGUGAAAAAGCACGUGAAAUUGUUGAAAGGGAAGCGCUUGCGGCCAGACGUGCCCGCGGUUGAUCAUCCAGGCUCCAGCCUGGUGCACUCCUCCGCGGGCAGGCCAGCAUCAGUUCGGGCGGUCGGAUAAAGGCCUCUAUCACGUACCACCCCUCGGGGUGGCCUUAUAGGGGAGGCGCAACACGGCCAGCCCGGACUGAGGUUCCGCGCAUCUGCUAGGAUGCUGGCGUAAUGGCAGCAAGCGGCCCGUCUUGAAACACGGACCAAGGAGUCUAACAUCUAUGCGAGUGUUUGGGUGUCAAGCCCGAGCGCGCAAUGAAAGUGAACGGAGGUGGGAACCCUUACCGGUGCACCAUCGACCGAUCCUGAUGUCUUCGGAUGGAUUUGAGUAAGAGCAUAGCUGUUGGGACCCGAAAGAUGGUGAACUAUGCCUGAAUAGGGUGAAGCCAGAGGAAACUCUGGUGGAGGCUCGCAGCGGUUCUGACGUGCAAAUCGAUCGUCAAAUUUGGGCAUA